This 497-nucleotide ribosomal RNA is filed under the name uncultured bacterium. Its description in RNAcentral is "partial 16S ribosomal RNA". It matches the Rfam family "Bacterial small subunit ribosomal RNA", at positions 28 to 507 of the family's 1533-position model. The record is from RNAcentral.
GACGAACGCUGGCGGCGUGCCUAAUACAUGCAAGUUGAGCGCUGAAGGUUGGUACUUGUACCAACUGGAUGAGCAGCGAACGGGUGAGUAACGCGUGGGGAAUCUGCCUUUGAGCGGGGGACAACAUUUGGAAACGAAUGCUAAUACCGCAUAAAAACUUUAAACACAAGUUUUAAGUUUGAAAGAUGCAAUUGCAUCACUCAAAGAUGAUCCCGCGUUGUAUUAGCUAGUUGGUGAGGUAAAGGCUCACCAAGGCGAUGAUACAUAGCCGACCUGAGAGGGUGAUCGGCCACAUGUGGACUGGGACACGGCCCAAACUCCUACGGGAGGCAGCAGUAGGGAAUCUUCGGCAAUGGACGAAAGUCUGACCGAGCAACGCCGCGGGAGUGAAGAAGGUUUUCGGAUCGUAAAACUCUGUUGGUAGGGAAGAACGUUGGUGAGAGUGGAAAGCUCAUCAAGUGACGGUAACUACACAGAAAGGGACGGCUAACUACGUG